RNAcentral lists this ribosomal RNA (497 nucleotides) under uncultured bacterium. RNAcentral describes it as "partial 16S ribosomal RNA". It matches the Rfam family "Bacterial small subunit ribosomal RNA", at positions 28 to 507 of the family's 1533-position model. The record is from RNAcentral.
GAUGAACGCUGGCGGCGUGCCUAAUACAUGCCAGUCGAGCGAACGGACGAGAAGCUUGCUUCUCUGAUGUUAGCGGCGGACGGGUGAGUAACACGUGGAUAACCUACCUAUAAGACUGGGAUAACUUCGGGAAACCGGAGCUAAUACCGGAUAAUAUUUUGAACCGCAUGGUUCAAAAGUGAAAGACGGUCUUGCUGUCACUUAUAGAUGGAUCCGCGCUGCAUUAGCUAGUUGGUAAGGUAACGGCUUACCAAGGCAACGAUGCAUAGCCGACCUGAGAGGGUGAUCGGCCACACUGGAACUGAGACACGGUCCAGACUCCUACGGGAGGCAGCAGUAGGGAAUCUUCCGCAAUGGGCGAAAGCCUGACGGAGCAACGCCGCGUGAGUGAUGAAGGUCUUCGGAUCGUAAAACUCUGUUAUUAGGGAAGAACAUAUGUGUAAGUAACUGUGCACAUCUUGACGGUACCUAGUCAGAAAGCCACGGCUAACUACGUG